CUCGGAUCAGGUAGGGAUACCCGCUGAACUUAAGCAUAUCAAUAAGCGGAGGAAAAGAAACCAACCGGGAUUGCCUCAGUAACGGCGAGUGAAGCGGCAAGAGCUCAAAUUUGAAAGCUGGCUCCUUCGGGGUCCGCAUUGUAAUUUGCAGAGGAUGCUUCGGGUGCGGCCCCUGUCUAAGUGCCCUGGAACGGGCCGUCAGAGAGGGUGAGAAUCCCGUCUGGGAUGGGGUGUCCGCGCCCGUGUGAAGCUCCUUCGACGAGUCGAGUUGUUUGGGAAUGCAGCUCUAAAUGGGUGGUAAAUUUCAUCUAAAGCUAAAUACUGGCCGGAGACCGAUAGCGCACAAGUAGAGUGAUCGAAAGAUGAAAAGCACUUUGAAAAGAGAGUUAAAAAGCACGUGAAAUUGUUGAAAGGGAAGCGCUUGCGACCAGACUCGCCUCCAGGGUUCAGCCGGCAUUCGUGCCGGUGUACUUCCCUGGGGGCGGGCCAGCGUCGGUUUGGGCGGCCGGUCAAAGGCUCCCGGAAUGUAGUGCCCUCCGGGGCACCUUAUAGCCGGGAGUGCAAUGCGGCCAGCCUGGACCGAGGAACGCG
RNAcentral lists this ribosomal RNA (591 nucleotides) under Aspergillus sp. RNAcentral's name for it is "eukaryotic LSU rRNA". It matches the Rfam family "Eukaryotic large subunit ribosomal RNA", at positions 1 to 599 of the family's 3401-position model. The record is from RNAcentral. Lineage: Eukaryota; Fungi; Ascomycota; Eurotiomycetes; Eurotiales; Aspergillaceae.